GAGGCCAAAAUGAAAGAUAUUGAGAAUUAUAAAGGUAUAAUUGGUAAAGAGUUACCUACUUUCAAAUUCAUGAAUACUUGUUGUGCUAUCCACAAAGUAUUUGUGAGAAAUAGAGAUCUCAACCCCACUAAGAAACAUUAGUAUGUUUCUCGAUUUUCAUAUUUGAGGGCUAUGAAGUUUGAUAAAAUAAUGGGAGACACAAUUAGAUAAAAGUCCUAGUCUAGUUGUGAAUAUCUUCAUGAGUUGUCCGCUUAUAAUGUACUCUUAUCAUUAUAGAUUAACUACACUUAUGGCAUUCUCAUUGUCCCUUAGAGGUAUCCUAGAUAUUAACAAG
This 334-nucleotide long non-coding RNA is filed under the name Elaeis guineensis (African oil palm). Its description in RNAcentral is "long non-coding RNA (EGUI_LNC073641)". Lineage: Eukaryota; Viridiplantae; Streptophyta; Magnoliopsida; Arecales; Arecaceae. The record is from RNAcentral.